RNAcentral lists this ribosomal RNA (261 nucleotides) under uncultured bacterium. RNAcentral describes it as "partial 16S ribosomal RNA". It matches the Rfam family "Bacterial small subunit ribosomal RNA", at positions 92 to 353 of the family's 1533-position model. The record is from RNAcentral.
CGAGUGGCGGACGGGUGAGUAAUGUCUGGGAAACUGCCUGAUGGGAGGGGGAUAACUACUGGAAACGGUAGCUAAUACCGCAUAACGUCGCAAGACCAAAGAGGGGGACCUUCGGGCCUCUUGCCAUCGGAUGUGCCCAGAUGGGAUUAGCUAGUAGGUGGGGUAAAGGCUCACCUAGGCGACGAUCCCUAGCUGGUCUGAGAGGAUGACCAGCCACACUGGAACUGAGACACGGUCCAGACUCCUACGGGAGGCAGCAUG